RNAcentral lists this ribosomal RNA (444 nucleotides) under uncultured bacterium. RNAcentral's name for it is "partial 16S ribosomal RNA". It matches the Rfam family "Bacterial small subunit ribosomal RNA", at positions 338 to 795 of the family's 1533-position model. The record is from RNAcentral.
CCUACGGGCGGCAGCAGUGGGGAAUAUUGGGCAAUGGAGGAAACUCUGACCCAGCAAUGCCGCGUGAAUGAAGAAGGUCUUCGGAUUGUUAAGUUCUUUAGUCAGGGAAGAAUAAAAUGACGGUACCUGAAGAAUAAGCUCCGGCUAACUACGUGCCAGCAGCCGCGGUAAUACGUCGGGAGCAAGCGUUGUUCGGAAUGACUGGGGGUCAAGGGUGCGUAGGCGGUUAUACAAGUUAGAGGGGAAAUACCCAGGGGUUAACUCUGGUGCUGCUUCUAAAACUGUAAGACUUGAGAGCAGUAGAGGUUAGUGGAAUAACUAAUGUAGCGGUGUAAUGCGUAGAGAUUAGGAGGAACACCAGAGGCGAAGGCGGCUAACUGGACUGAAACUGACGCUGAGGCACGAAAGUGUGGGUAGCAAACAGGAUUAGAUACCCGAGUAGUC